AUAUCUAGAAUAUUACAGAUUCGUAUUCCAGUACAUUCAAAUGGUGAUUUCAUUCUCUUCAUAUUGGACAAAGAUACACAUACUGUCCAUAUUUUGGAUCCUAUCCCUAUCGAUCCUAUCUACCAAUACAACCCACACGCAAAAUAUUUGCAUAGACUUAUAUGGAUUGCAGAAUAUUUACCGAAAGCAAUGUCAAAGGAACUAUCUGGUUACCUUAUUACCCUCUACAUGUCCACAUGGGAAGAUGAGAAACAACAUUUACCAUUUCUAAAGGAUGGAUACGAACUCAGGAAACAAUUUUUUUGACAUCUUCUAACAUUCGAGGACAAUGAAUCUGAAGAUGGCAUGCCUGCUGGUGUCCGGUACUUCAUCAAUUGUAUCAGGAUGAAGAAGCUAUCAACUAUAUGUCCAACUGCUGCUCCUAAAUUGUCUCGACAAUCCUAG
Molecule: ribosomal RNA, 444 nt
Filed under: Triticum aestivum (bread wheat)
Lineage: Eukaryota; Viridiplantae; Streptophyta; Magnoliopsida; Poales; Poaceae
Description: partial small subunit ribosomal RNA
Source: RNAcentral